GUCUGACUCGAUUCUCAUGUUUGUCCAUCCAUAAGACAAAAAAUGUGCCCCAAGAUAUGAGAGUACGAUGGAUCACAAGCUCUUAGAGAUAGGUGGAGGCCAAAAUUGAAUCAAGGUGGAGAUUGUUGAGAAAAAUAUCUCAAGAUUCGAUCUAUAAUAAGCCCAAAACAAGAUCCAAGACAACGAACGAAAUCUAAUGAGCCUAAGAAC
Molecule: long non-coding RNA, 210 nt
Filed under: Elaeis guineensis (African oil palm)
Lineage: Eukaryota; Viridiplantae; Streptophyta; Magnoliopsida; Arecales; Arecaceae
Description: long non-coding RNA (EGUI_LNC033606)
Source: RNAcentral